RNAcentral lists this ribosomal RNA (493 nucleotides) under uncultured bacterium. RNAcentral's name for it is "partial 16S ribosomal RNA". It matches the Rfam family "Bacterial small subunit ribosomal RNA", at positions 28 to 507 of the family's 1533-position model. The record is from RNAcentral.
GACGAACGCUGGCGGCGUGCUUAACACAUGCAAGUCGAACGGUGAAGGGACCGGUUUUUGCUGGUUCUGGAUGAGUGGCGAACGGGUGAGUAACACGUGAGUAACCUGCCCCCUUCUUCUGGAUAACCGCAUGAAAGUGUGGCUAAUACGGGAUAUUCUGCGCCUGCUGCAUGGUGGGUGUGGGAAAGAUAUUGUUUCGGUGGGGGAUGGGCUCGCGGCCUAUCAGCUUGUUGGUGGGGUGAUGGCCUACCAAGGCGGUGACGGGUAGCCGGCCUGAGAGGGUGGACGAUCACACUGGGACUGAGACACGGCCCAGACUCCUACGGGAGGCAGCAGUGAGGAAUAUUGCACAAUGGGCGCAAGCCUGAUGCAGCGACGCCGCGUGAGGGAUGGAGGCCUUCGGGUUGUAAACCUCUUUCGCCAGUGAAGCAGGCCUGUCCCUUUUGUGGGUGGGUUGACGGUAGCUGGAUAAGAAGCGCCGGCUAACUACGUG